UGAGGAAUAUUGGUCAAUGGACGCGAGUCUGAACCAGCCAAGUAGCGUGAAGGAUGACUGCCCUAUGGGUUGUAAACUUCUUUUAUAAGGGAAUAAAGUCACCCACGUGUGGGUGUUUGUAUGUACCUUAUGAAUAAGCAUCGGCUAACUCCGUGCCAGCAGCCGCGGUAAUACGGAGGAUGCGAGCGUUAUCCGGAUUUAUUGGGUUUAAAGGGAGCGUAGACGGGUCGUUAAGUCAGCUGUGAAAGUUUGAGGCUCAACCUUAAAAUUGCAGUUGAUACUGGCGUCCUUGAGUACGGUUGAGGCAGGCGGAAUUCGUGGUGUAGCGGUGAAAUGCUUAGAUAUCACGAAGAACCCCGAUUGCGAAGGCAGCCUGCUAAACCGCCACUGACGUUGAGGCUCGAAAGUGUGGGUAUCAAACAGGAUUAGAUACCCUGGUAGUCCACACGGUAAACGAUGGAUACUCGCUGUUGGCGAUAGACUGUCAGCGGCUUAGCGAAAGCGUUAAGUAUCCCACCUGGGGAGUACGCCGGCAACGGUGAAACUCAAAGGAAUUGACGGGGGCCCGCACAAGCGGAGGAACAUGUGGUUUAAUUCGAUGAUACGCGAGGAACCUUACCCGGGCUUGAAUUGCAGACGAAUUGCUUGGAAACAGGCAAGCCGCAAGGCGUCUGUGAGGGUGCUGCAUGGUUGUCGUCAGCUCGUGCCGUGAGGUGUCGGCUUAAGUGCCAUAACGAGCGCAACCCUCGUGUCCAGUUACUAGCAGGUUAUGCUGAGGACUCUGGACAGACUGCCAUCGUAAGAUGUGAGGAAGGUGGGGAUGACGUCAAAUCAGCACGGCCCUUACGUCCGGGGCUACACACGUGUUACAAUGGGGGGUACAGCAGGCAGCUACCGGGCGACCGGAUGCCAAUCCCGAAAGCCUCUCUCAGUUCGGACUGGAGUCUGCAACCCGACUCCACGAAGCUGGAUUCGCUAGUAAUCGCGCAUCAGCCACGGCGCGGUGAAUACGUUCCC
RNAcentral lists this ribosomal RNA (1017 nucleotides) under uncultured bacterium. Its description in RNAcentral is "bacterial SSU rRNA". It matches the Rfam family "Bacterial small subunit ribosomal RNA", at positions 355 to 1375 of the family's 1533-position model. The record is from RNAcentral.